UCCAGAUCGGAUAUGUAAUAUAUGUGGGUGUCUUUUCAGAACAUUGUCUGGUUUAAAAACCUGCAUCAGAUGCCAUGAUUUUUCUAAGGUGUCGGUACAGGAGGUGGUCAAACUCUGUAUAAGUAUAAGACAACCAC
Long non-coding RNA from Octopus sinensis (East Asian common octopus), 137 nucleotides. RefSeq lists it as uncharacterized. The record is from RefSeq and is a predicted model, not a curated record. NCBI's taxonomy places the organism in Eukaryota, Metazoa, Mollusca, Cephalopoda, Octopoda, Octopodidae. The transcript is spliced from 3 exons.